UGGCGGCGUGCCUAAUACAUGCAAGUCGAGCGAGCUGAAUUCAAAGAUUCCUUCGGGAUGAUUUGUUGGACGCUAGCGGCGGAUGGGUGAGUAACACGUGGGCAAUCUGCCCUAAAGACUGGGAUACCACUUGGAAACUGGUGCUAAUACCGGAUAACAACAUGAAUCGCAUGAUUCAAGUUUGAAAGGCGGCGCAAGCUGUCACUUUAGGAUGAGCCCGCGGCGCAUUAGCUAGUUGGUGGGGUAAAGGCCUACCAAGGCAAUGAUGCGUAGCCGAGUUGAGAGACUGAUCGGCCACAUUGGGACUGAGACACGGCCCACACUCCUACGGGAGGCAGCAGUAGGGAAUCUUCCACAAUGAACGCAAGUCUGAUGGAGCAACGCCGCGUGAGUGAAGAAGGUUUUCGGAUCGUAAAGCUCUGUUGUUGGUGAAGAAGGAUAGAGGCAGUAACUGGUCUUUAUUUGACGGUAAUCAACCAGAAAGUCACGGCUAACUACGUGCCAGCAGCCGCGGUAAUACGUAGGUGGCAAGCGUUGUCCGGAUUUAUUGGGCGUAAAGCGAGCGCAGGCGGAAUGAUAAGUCUGAUGUGAAAGCCCACGGCUCAACCGUGGAACUGCAUCGGAAACUGUCAUUCUUGAGUGCAGAAGAGGAGAGUGGAACUCCAUGUGUAGCGGUGAAAU
Molecule: ribosomal RNA, 681 nt
Filed under: uncultured bacterium
Lineage: Bacteria
Description: bacterial SSU rRNA
Rfam family: Bacterial small subunit ribosomal RNA
Source: RNAcentral